CUACGGGGUGCUGCAGUGAGGAAUAUUGCACAAUGGGGGGAACCCUGAUGCAGCAACGCCGCGUGGAGGAUGACGCAUUUCGGUGUGUAAACUCCUUUUAUAUGUCAAGAAAAUGACGGUAGCAUAUGAAUAAGCACCGGCUAACUCCGUGCCAGCAGCCGCGGUAAUAGCGGAGGGUGCAAGCGUUACUCGGAAUCACUGGGCGUAAAGGACGCGUAGGCGGGUUGGAAAGUCAGGUGUGAAAUCCUACAGCUUAACUGUAGAACUGCACUUGAAACUUCUAAUCUAGAGUAUGGGAGGGGGAGAUGGAAUUAGUGGUGUAGGGGUAAAAUCCGUAGAUAUCACUAGGAAUACCUAAAGCGAAGGCGAUCUCCUGGAACAUUACUGACGCUAAGGCGUGAAAGCGUGGGGAGCAAACAGGAUUAGAUACCCGUGUAGUC
This 440-nucleotide ribosomal RNA is filed under the name uncultured bacterium. Its description in RNAcentral is "partial 16S ribosomal RNA". It matches the Rfam family "Bacterial small subunit ribosomal RNA", at positions 339 to 795 of the family's 1533-position model. The record is from RNAcentral.